GAUGAACGCUGGCGGCGUGCCUAAUACAUGCAAGUCGAGCGAACAGACGAGGAGCUUGCUCCUCUGACGUUAGCGGCGGACGGGUGAGUAACACGUGGAUAACCUACCUAUAAGACUGGGAUAACUUCGGGAAACCGGAGCUAAUACCGGAUAAUAUAUUGAACCGCAUGGUUCAAUAGUGAAAGACGGUUUUGCUGUCACUUAUAGAUGGAUCCGCGCCGCAUUAGCUAGUUGGUAAGGUAACGGCUUACCAAGGCAACGAUGCGUAGCCGACCUGAGAGGGGGAUCGCCCACACGGGAACUGGAACACGGUCCAGACUCCUACGGGAGGCAGCAGUAGGGAAUCUUCCGCAAUGGGCGAAAGCUUGACGGAGCAACGCCGCGUGAGUGAUGAAGGUCUUCGGAUCGUAAAACUCUGUUAUUAGGGAAGAACAAAUGUGUAAGUAACUGUGCACGUCUUGACGGUACCUAAUCAGAAAGCCACGGCUAACUACGUG
RNAcentral lists this ribosomal RNA (497 nucleotides) under uncultured bacterium. RNAcentral's name for it is "partial 16S ribosomal RNA". It matches the Rfam family "Bacterial small subunit ribosomal RNA", at positions 28 to 507 of the family's 1533-position model. The record is from RNAcentral.